AAUCCUGGGCUCAGGGACGAAACGCCUGGGCGGGCGGUGGCUUUAAACCACAAUGCAAAGUCGAAACGAUGAUGCCCAGCUUUGCUGGGGUGGGAUUAGUGGCCGAAACGGGUGAGUAAACACGUGAGUAACCUGCCCUUGACUUCGGGAUAACUCCGGGAAACCGGGGCUAAUACCGGAUAUGAGCUACCUUCGCAUGGGGGUGGUUGGAAAGUUUUUCGGUCAGGGAUGGGCUCGCGGCCUAUCAGCUUGUUGGUGGGGUGAUGGCCUACCAAGGCGACGACGGGUAGCCGGCCUGAGAGGGCGACCGGCCACACUGGGACUGAGACACGGCCCAGACUCCUACGGGAGGCAGCAGUGGGGAAUAUUGCACAAUGGGCGAAAGCCUGAUGCAGCGACGCCGCGUGAGGGAUGAAGGCCUUCGGGUUGUAAACCUCUUUCAGCAGGGAAGAAGCGCAAGUGACGGUACCUGCAGAAGAAGCGCCGGCUAACUACGUGCCAGCAGCCGCGGUAAUACGUAGGGCGCAAGCGUUGUCCGGAAUUAUUGGGCGUAAAGAGCUCGUAGGCGGUUUGUCGCGUCUGGUAGUGAAACUCGAGGCUCAACCUCGAGCUUGCAUCGGGUACGGGCAGACUAGAGUGCGGUAGGGGAGACUGGAAUUCCUGGUGUAGCGGUGGAAUGCGCAGAUAUCAGGAGGAACACCGAUGGCGAAGGCAGGUCUCUGGGCCGCAACUGACGCUGAGGAGCGAAAGCAUGGGGAGCGAACAGGAUUAGAUACCCUGGUAGUCCAUGCCGUAAACGUUGGGCACUAGGUGUGGGGCUCAUUCCACGAGUUCCGUGCCGCAGCAAACGCAUUAAGUGCCCCGCCUGGGGAGUACGGCCGCAAGGCUAAAACUCAAAGGAAUUGACGGGGGCCCGCACAAGCGGCGGAGCAUGCGGAUUAAUUCGAUGCAACGCGAAGAACCUUACCAAGGCUUGACAUGCACGGGAAGCCCCCAGAGAUGGUGGUCUCUUUGGACACCUCGUGCACAGGGUGGGGCAUGGUUGUCGUCAGCCUCGUGGUCGUGAAGAUGGUUGGGUUAAGUCCCGCAAACGAAGGGGCAACCCCUCGUCCCCAUGUUUGCCAAGCGGGGUUAAUGCCCGGGGACCUCCAUGGGGAGAACCUGCCGGGGGUUCAACUCUCGGGAGAGAAAGGGUGGGGGAU
Molecule: ribosomal RNA, 1202 nt
Filed under: Cellulosimicrobium sp.
Lineage: Bacteria; Bacillati; Actinomycetota; Actinomycetes; Micrococcales; Promicromonosporaceae
Description: bacterial SSU rRNA
Rfam family: Bacterial small subunit ribosomal RNA
Source: RNAcentral